GGGGCCCGCCACAAGAUCGCCCUCAGCAUCCAGAAGCUGCGCGAGAGGCAGAGCGUCCUCAAGUCGCUGGAGAAGGUGCGGAGGGGCGGCGGGGUGGCCCUGGCGUUGUCCCCAACCGCCCGCCCCGUGUCCCCCAGGCUGGCAGGGUCCCUCCUGUGUCCCUGGUCCCGGCCCAGGGUGUCCCUGGGUCCCUCCGGUGUCCCUGUGUCCCCCCUGUGUCCCUCCUGUGUCCCUGGUCCUGGCCCAGGGUGUCCCUGGUCCCCCCCGUGUCCCUGGUCUGUCCCUGUGUCCCUCCUGUGUCCCUGGUCCCGGCCCAGGGUGUCUCUGUGUCCCUCCGGUGUCCCUGGUCCCCCCCUGUGUCCCUCCGGUGUCCCUGGUCCUGGCCCGGGGUGUCCCUGAUCCCAGCCCAGGGUGUCCCUGGGUCCCUCCUGUGUCCCUGGGUCCCUCCUGUGUCCCUGGUCCCAGCCCGGGGUGUCCCUGGGUCCCUCCUGUGUCCCUGGAUCCCUCCCGUGUCCCUGGUCCCAGCCCAGGGUGUCCCUGGGUCCCCCCUGUGUCCCUGGGUCCCUCCUGUGUCCCUGGUCCCAGCCCAGGGUGUCCCUGGGUCCCUCCGGUGUCCCUGUGUCCCCCCUGUGUCCCUCCUGUGUCCCUGGUCCCCCCCGUGUCCCUGGUCCCCCCCUGUGUCCCUCCCGUGUCCCUGGUCCUAGCCCAGGGUGUCCCUGUGUCCCUCCGGUAUCCCUGGUCCCCCCCUGUGUCUCUCCGGUGUCCCUGGUCCUGGCCCGGGGUGUCCCUGGUCCCAGGGUGUCCCUGGGUCCCUCCUGUGUCCCUGGAUCCCUCCCGUGUCCCUGGUCCCAGCCCGGGGUGUCCCUGGGUCCCUCCUGUGUCCCUGGGUCCCCCCUGUGUCCCUGGUCCCAGCCCGGGGUGUCCCUGGUCCCCCCUGUGUCCCUGGUCCCGGCCCAGGGAGUCCCUGGUCCCCCCCCAUGUCCCUGGGUCCCUCCUGUGUCCCUGGUUCCCCCCCGUGUCCCUGGGGCUGGCCCAGGGUGUCCCUGUGUCCCUAGAGCUGGUCCAAAGUGUCCCUUGUCCCCCCUCCCAUGUCCCUGGGGCUGGUAGAGGGUCCUUUGUGCCCCCCAUGUCCCUGGGGCCAGCCCCGGGGUGUCUUUGACCCUCCCCUGAGCCCCCCUUGUCCCCCAGUGUCCCCAGAGCUGGUACGGGGGGUCUCUGAUGCCCCCCCCGGUCCCCUUGUCCC
RNAcentral lists this long non-coding RNA (1243 nucleotides) under Apteryx rowi (Okarito brown kiwi). Its description in RNAcentral is "lncRNA (ENSARWG00000018224.1)". The record is from RNAcentral. Lineage: Eukaryota; Metazoa; Chordata; Aves; Apterygiformes; Apterygidae.